AAAGGAGCAGCAUCGAGAGGGAUAGUGAGCGAGAACUACUGUAAUGCGCAGGAACCGGUACUUUCGGCUUUGCAGAGAGAGGAGAAGCCGGAAAUAAAAUGACGAAGGGUCAGAGAUUCAGGAGGAAUAGGAUUUGGAGGGAACGCAACCAUUCAACAAGUACUAAUUGAGCGCUGUUCUAGGCACAGAGGGUAAAGCCACAGACAAGCAAACGCACUCGUGGAGUUUGCAUACUAACGGGGUGGGAGAGGGGAAAGGAACAAAUGACAAAAAUUUCAGGUAGUGGUAAGGGGUGUGAGAAAAAUWAAGUAGGGGAUAGAGUGAAAUUAUAAGCUGCAUCUCAGAGGAGACCUUUGUGCCCAUACGUGCGUGAUAUGAAGGAAUGAAACUAGGAAGUUAAGGGAUAGAGAAGAGGAACGGCUUUCCAGGCUGAAAGAAAAAACAGCCAUAAACCUAGAGAUGUGGAUGCCCCUGCCAUGUUGAGAAACAGCAAAAGGCCAGUAUGGCUGAGCAUUGUCAGCCUGCCAGAGAGCAGGAAUAGUUAGGCUUAGAAAGGUGGGCAAGUAGCCAGAUCCUGUGGAGCCUAUGGGUCAUUAUAAGAGCAACAGGAAGCUCUGGGAGGAGGGUGAGUCCAGGAAUGACUACAUCUGAUUCAUGUUUUUAAAAAGUCUUGCUGUGUGUGUGUGUGWGAGAGAGAAGUACAUAAUGGAGAAUCACAAAGGCCCACAGGAGACCAGCAAGGAGGCUUUUCUUGUUAGCUUGAGCUAGGAUGGCAGCAGAGUACAAGUGAAUUUUGAGAUUAGCACAGAAAAUGAGCAAACAUUUAGGAUCUCUUUUGGCAACUUGGCGUUACUGUGACAUCUCAGCAAGUGAUCAGURGACUUGUCUCAUUGAACCUGGAGACGGGACCUUGCAAGUUACCCAGGCUGGUCUUGAACUACA
This is a non-coding RNA of Urocitellus parryii (Arctic ground squirrel), 942 nucleotides long. The record is from RefSeq and is a predicted model, not a curated record. Lineage: Eukaryota; Metazoa; Chordata; Mammalia; Rodentia; Sciuridae.